GGCACUGUAGCUCAGCCUGGUUAGAUCGCCACGCUCAUAACGUGGAGGUCAGGGGUUCAAAUCCCCUCAGUGCCA
Molecule: transfer RNA, 75 nt
Filed under: Candidatus Woesearchaeota archaeon
Lineage: Archaea; Nanobdellati; Candidatus Woesearchaeota
Description: tRNA-Ile
Rfam family: tRNA
About the family: Transfer RNA (tRNA) molecules are approximately 80 nucleotides in length. Their secondary structure includes four short double-helical elements and three loops (D, anti-codon, and T loops).
Source: RNAcentral